AUUUAGCAUUACAUUGUAAUUGUAGUGAUAGGAAUGGAAACUGGAGGUUUCUAUCUAGGAGUUCCUAGGUAUAGAUUGCAUUGGGUAGGGAUUAAGUGAAGAGUUGUAAACGGGGGAGUUUAACUCUUAUGGAAACUGGAGGUUUCUAUCUAGGAGUUCCUAGGUAUAGAUUGCAUUGGGUAGGGAUUAAGUGAAGAGUUGUAAACGGGGG
Molecule: long non-coding RNA, 211 nt
Filed under: Lathyrus oleraceus (garden pea)
Lineage: Eukaryota; Viridiplantae; Streptophyta; Magnoliopsida; Fabales; Fabaceae
Description: Pisum sativum (pea) long non-coding RNA (PSAT_LNC016710)
Source: RNAcentral